This 480-nucleotide ribosomal RNA is filed under the name uncultured bacterium. RNAcentral describes it as "bacterial SSU rRNA". It matches the Rfam family "Bacterial small subunit ribosomal RNA", at positions 328 to 793 of the family's 1533-position model. The record is from RNAcentral.
UCAGUCGACUCCUACGGGGAGGCAGCAGUGGGGGAAUAUUGCACAAUGGGCGCAAGCCUGAUGCAGCCAUGCCGCGUGUAUGAAGAAGGCCUUCGGGUUGUAAAGUACUUUCAGCAGUGAGGAAGGUGGGUAUGGUUAAUAGCAUACUCAUUUGACGUUAGCUGCAGAAGAAAGCACCGGCUAACUCCGUGCCAGCAGCCGCGGUAAUACGGAGGGUGCGAGCGUUAAUCGGAAUUACUGGGCGUAAAGCGCAUGCAGGUGGUUUGUUAAGUCAGAUGUGAAAGCCCGGGGCGUCAACCUCGGAAUUGCAUUUGAAACUGGCAAACUAGAGUACUGUAGAGGGGGGUAGGAAUUUCAGGUGUAGCGGUGAAAUGCGUAGAGAUCUGAAGGAAUACCGGUGGCGAAGGCGGCCCCCUCGGACAGAUACUGACACUCAGAUGCGAAAGCGUGGGGAGCAAACAGGAUUAGAUACCCUGGUAG